RNAcentral lists this unclassified non-coding RNA (1406 nucleotides) under uncultured Anabaena sp. Its description in RNAcentral is "bacterial SSU rRNA". The stretch from base 1 to 938 matches the Rfam family "Bacterial small subunit ribosomal RNA", at positions 595 to 1533 of the family's 1533-position model. Lineage: Bacteria; Bacillati; Cyanobacteriota; Cyanophyceae; Nostocales; Nostocaceae. The record is from RNAcentral.
UUAAAGAGUCUAGCUCAACUAGAUAAGAGCAGUGGAAACUACAAAGCUAGAGUUUGGUCGGGGCAGAAGGAAUUCCUGGUGUAGCGGUGAAAUGCGUAGAUAUCAGGAAGAACACCGGUGGCGAAGGCGUUCUGCUAGGCCGAGACUGACACUGAGGGACGAAAGCUAGGGGAGCGAAUGGGAUUAGAUACCCCAGUAGUCCUAGCCGUAAACGAUGGAUACUAGGCGUAGCUCGUAUCGACCCGAGCUGUGCCGGAGCUAACGCGUUAAGUAUCCCGCCUGGGGAGUACGCAGGCAACUGUGAAACUCAAAGGAGUUGACGGGGGCCCGCACAAGCGGUGGAGUAUGUGGUUUAAUUCGAUGCAACGCGAAGAACCUUACCAAGGCUUGACAUGUCACGAAUCCUGUAGAAAUAUAGGAGUGCCUUCGGGAGCGUGAACACAGGUGGUGCAUGGCUGUCGUCAGCUCGUGUCGUGAGAUGUUGGGUUAAGUCCCGCAACGAGCGCAACCCUCGUUUUUAGUUGCCAGCAUUAGGUUGGGCACUCUAGAGAGACUGCCGGUGACAAACCGGAGGAAGGUGGGGAUGACGUCAAGUCAGCAUGCCCCUUACGUCUUGGGCUACACACGUACUACAAUGCUACGGACAAAGGGCAGCUACACAGCGAUGUGAUGCGAAUCUCAUAAACCGUAGCUCAGUUCAGAUCGAAGGCUGCAACUCGCCUUCGUGAAGGAGGAAUCGCUAGUAAUUGCAGGUCAGCAUACUGCAGUGAAUUCGUUCCCGGGCCUUGUACACACCGCCCGUCACACCAUGGAAGUUGGUCACGCCCGAAGUCGUUACCCCAACCGCAAGGGGGGGGAUGCCUAAGGUAGGACUGAUGACUGGGGUGAAGUCGUAACAAGGUAGCCGUACCGGAAGGUGUGGCUGGAUCACCUCCUUUUAGGGAGACCUAAUCCAUUUAGAAAUCGAGAACAAUGAAAAUUGUCAAUAGAAACUAAAGUGGUCUAACCUAGGUCGGUCGCAGACUUGAAGUAAAGCUUUCAAACUAUGAUUUGGUUCGAUAAGGGCUAUUAGCUCAGGUGGUUAGAGCGCACCCCUGAUAAGGGUGAGGUCCCUGGUUCGAGUCCAGGAUGGCCCACCUGAAGAAUUUUAGAUUGGUGAUUUGAGAUUUUAGAUUGAAAAAAAAUCAAUCCAAAAUCGUCAAUCCAAAAUCCAAAAUUUUGUAGGGGGGUUUAGCUCAGUUGGUAGAGCGCCUGCUUUGCAAGCAGGACGUCAGCGGUUCGAGUCCGCUAACCUCCACAUUGGAAAAAAGACAGCACCUAAUUGUUAAAGUUAGACUGCUGGAUGAAAUUCCAGCCAGAACCUUGAAAACUGCAUAAGAGAACAAGAAAAAGCAGGCAGACACAGA